GGUGAGAUGGCGAGCGAGCAAAACCGUAUUCCGCGUACCGUUUGUUGCGGCGAACACAGGCGACGCACAGAGCAGUCACUAGGGCGCCGACGAACACGACGCAGCCGAGUACCACGACGCCCACCUCGAGAGUUGAUAGCAGAUCUGGCGAUAAAUGCAGUUCCUGGAAGGUGCAGUUUUGGUUCAUGUGGAUGGUGUGCCGGAGGAUCCGGUUCAGGUCGAGCAGGAUCAGCUUGAAGAAUUUGCAGUAGAGCGUGGCUGAUCCUGAGUUCCUGGUAUUUCGGUAAAAUCAUUGGCAACAUCUUAUAAGCAACGCAAUAAAAGAAGAAGAUAAAAAGAAUAUUUUUUACACUUUUAACACACUUGUAACAUUUUUGUCGCGUUACAUUUAGCACUGUAAAUGUGUCAAUUUUACAUAAAAUUUGCUUCAGAGUAGUAUUGGUGUUGAUCUUUUUCAUAUCAGUUCUCCUGACGUAAUAUUUGCGUUAUUUUCUAACAUAUUAGCCUUGUGAUAAAUUAACACAAGCAUUCUGGAGGCAUGUAGGGUAUGAUAAAUUUAACAGUUUUUUACUGUACUGUAAAAACUGAUGUGUUAAAUUUAACAUUUCAUGUGUCCCAAA
Molecule: long non-coding RNA, 620 nt
Organism: Odontomachus brunneus
Lineage: Eukaryota; Metazoa; Arthropoda; Insecta; Hymenoptera; Formicidae
Exons: 4
Source: RefSeq, a predicted model, not a curated record